RNAcentral lists this ribosomal RNA (253 nucleotides) under uncultured bacterium. RNAcentral's name for it is "partial 16S ribosomal RNA". It matches the Rfam family "Bacterial small subunit ribosomal RNA", at positions 524 to 776 of the family's 1533-position model. The record is from RNAcentral.
UACAGAGGGUGCGAGCGUUAAUCGGAAUUACUGGGCGUAAAGCGCGCGUAGGCGGCUUUGCAAGUCGGGUGUGAAAUCCCCAGGCUUAACCUGGGAACUGCAUUCGAGACUGCAUUGCUAGAGUAUGGGAGAGGGAAGUGGAAUUUCCGGUGUAGCGGUGAAAUGCGUAGAUAUCGGAAGGAACAUCAGUGGCGAAAGCGACUUCCUGGACCAAUACUGACGCUCAUGUGCGAAAGCGUGGGGAGCAAAAAGG